Pelobates cultripes (western spadefoot toad) is the source of this 205-nucleotide non-coding RNA. NCBI's taxonomy places the organism in Eukaryota, Metazoa, Chordata, Amphibia, Anura, Pelobatidae. The record is from the annotation of a GenBank genome assembly.
GAGUUCCUGCUUAACCCUCAAAGUGAAGUGUCGUCUCAUUAUUGGGGGAAGGAUUUAUUGUAUGCUGUUCCAGUUUGACUGCUAGGAGAGUAAACCUAUUCGUAUGGUUCAUAUUCAACUGUCUACAGCAUUCAUAUGCUUGAGAGGAUUCAUAUGCUUCUCCGGUUCGGUGGUUGUGGUGUCUGCUGCAGUGCUUGGAGUCCUC